UUAUUAAAUAUUGGAAGGAUAAAGUUUGAUGUUUUCCUCUUUUGACAAAGAUGGUUCUGUACAGACUGUGUUCAAUUUCAACCAACAAAGCGAUGAAUCUCUUGUCUAAUUGUGUAAAAAUACAGAACUCUGUGAGCCAAGGCGCCCAACCCAAUCAAACCCGCAUGAACUCUCGUCUCAAUGGCUCUGCUCGUCUCAUGCUAGUCUCGGAUCUUGAUUACACCAUGGUGGAUCAUGAUGAGCCUGAAAAUCUGUCUCUUCUGAGGUUCAACGCGCUGUGGGAAGCAAAUUACCGCCAUGAUUCUCUGCUGGUAUUUUCAACCGGAAGAUCACCAAUCACUUACAAGCCAUUGAGGAAUGAGAAACCCUUGCUAACGCCUGAUAUAACAAUCAUGUCUGUGGGAACUGAGAUUAUGUAUGGUUAUGGUGAGGCUAUGGUUCCUGAUGAUGGGUGGAAGCAACAUCUGAAUCACAAGUGGGAUAGAGACAUUGUUGUUGAGGAAACUAAUAAAUUUCCUCAACUUACUCCUCAGGAAGAGGGAGAGCAACGACCUCACAAGGUUAGCUUUUAUGUAGAGAAGGUUGUGGCAUCGGAGAUAAUGAAUGUUUUAUCACAACGGUUGGAGAAACGUGGGUUAGAUGUGAAGAUAAUUUAUAGCAGUGGGAUUGCUUUGGACGUUUUACCAAAAGGGGCGGGCAAAGGGCAAGCUCUUGCAUAUUUGUUGAAGAAAUUCAAACUUGAGGGGAAGCUUCCCUACGACAUUCUGGUUUGUGGUGACUCUGGAAAUGAUGCUGAACUAUUCAGUCUUCCUGAAGUGUAUGGUGUGAUGGUCAGUAAUGCAAAAGAAGAAUUGUUGCAGUGGUAUGCAGAAAAUGCACACAGAAAUUCCAAUAUACUUCAUGCAACAGAGAGAUGUGCAGCUGGGAUAAUACAAGCCAUUGGAAAUUUUCAUCUGGGUCCAAAUGUAUCUCCAAGAGAUUUCAAAGAUUUCCAAAAGUGCAAAGUGAAGAAUUUUAGUCCUGCACAUGAGGUUGUAAAGUUCUAUUUGUUUUAUGAGAGAUGGCGGCGUGCAGAAGUGGAGAAAUCUGAGCAGUAUUUUCAAAACUUGAAAUCAGUCUUUCACCCAUUGGCUAUCUUUGUCCAUCCCUUGGGAGUUGAGCUACCUAUCCACCAGUGCAUGGAUGCAAUGGCAAAGUCGUAUGGAGAUAAGCAGGGAAAACAGUUUUGGACAUGGGUGGAUCGAUUAUCCUCAACUCAAAUUGGCUCAGACACAUGGCUUGUGAAGUUUGAUAAGUGGGAAUUGAAUGAUGAUGAGCGGCAAUGCUCUCUGACUACAGUCCUGAUGAGUUCAAAGUCAGAGGUACCGGAUGCUUAUACUUGGCUGCACAUGCAUCAAACAUGGUUCGAUGGUGUAGAACUUAAAGAACCAGAAAGAUGGGUAUUCUAGGUUCCUAAUGAGAUCAGCAUCUAUUUUUCGCAACCCCAAUAAAUGAUACUGAUUAUAUGCAACUGACUUAUGAAGGUGGGGCUCUGAUUCCAUAUUGCUUACACAUUCCAUACUGCAUGCUGUUUCUUAAAGAAUUCAGUAUCCCUUUCCACGUUUUCUGGUCAUGCAAAGACAAAUGCAACUCGCUAGGUCAAAGGAACAUGAUGAUUUGAGAUUGAAGAUUAAUUUGGAUUGUAAGUCAAUUGCAAAAUCAUGAGUACUCAGUAUAUAGAUACACUAAGGUGCUCUCUUACAAAAUCUUAUGCAUUAAAUACUACAUUCAGUUGUGGUAAUUUAAUUCCCAAGCAAUUGAAGAACCCAGAAACUUAGAUGAAUGUUUGCCAGGAUUGUUAAGUAACCAGUAUCCGCCAGGGCCGUAGGUAGGAGAAGUGAGACAGUGAUUGGUUUUGUGCCCCUGCAAGAAAUUAGUAUAAACAUGCCUUAAGAUUACAUAUGGUAUAUUGAAUUGCAAAUGUUAGAAUUUUCUACUGGAAGGUGUAGAGGGAAAAAGAUAAGUCCGUUAUGAUUCAUGACUUCCGGGUUUGUGGUCAUGCUUUCAGAUGGGGCAGCUAAUGUUGAAAGAACUUCACUCUUUGUUGUGCAAUAAUACUAUUAGGCUCUGGAAUACAUUCCAGUAAAGCAUUUAAGGUGGA
Prunus dulcis (almond) is the source of this 2140-nucleotide RNA transcript. It is a transcript of the gene named sucrose-phosphatase 2-like, with no coding region annotated. The transcript has 9 exons. The record is from RefSeq and is a predicted model, not a curated record. NCBI's taxonomy places the organism in Eukaryota, Viridiplantae, Streptophyta, Magnoliopsida, Rosales, Rosaceae.